UUCUUAUUGAAUGAUGACUGUCACGUGUCAUGUUCUAAUUGGAUGUCGAAUUAUUGUUGUUGUCAUUGGUUGAUCAGAACAUACAUGUGAUAGUCAUCAUUCAAUAAGAACGUGACACGUGGCAGUCAACAUUC
This 134-nucleotide microRNA precursor is filed under the name Glycine soja. RNAcentral's name for it is "MIR1520 microRNA precursor family". It matches the Rfam family "MIR1520 microRNA precursor family". The record is from Rfam by way of RNAcentral. Lineage: Eukaryota; Viridiplantae; Streptophyta; Magnoliopsida; Fabales; Fabaceae.